This 272-nucleotide long non-coding RNA is filed under the name Mus caroli (Ryukyu mouse). RNAcentral describes it as "lncRNA (MGP_CAROLIEiJ_G0003521.1)". Lineage: Eukaryota; Metazoa; Chordata; Mammalia; Rodentia; Muridae. The record is from RNAcentral.
GGGAACUGGCUGGCACACAGUGGAUCGCUUCCUUAGCCGUCUCCUGGUAAUCCCCGGGAAUAUGUCUUCACACCUAGAAGUCAGACCAUCCUGGGUUGCUGAGAUGCAGGUGCUGGCCCAGCAGCUUCACAGUGUCCAUCUUAGGCUUUUUCUAGGAAAAAAACAAUGUUGUGCAUGAACCUCCAUUGUAUUUGCUUUUAUUUGUAGCACACAUAUGUAUAACACCUAAAACAUGAUGCUGGAAAUAAACAUCUGUAUUAGAAACUUCUAAA